AGUUUUGCACAGUGGCAAUCUCAUAGUCAAUGAGGUCUAUCUGAGGCGUGAUUAUUGCUAAUUGAAGCCUUUUCCCAGAUAGUCUAUGCCCUGUGAAACUAUCUUUCAAAACAAAGGCGCAACAGAGACUUUUUGCCAGAGAAACAA
This 147-nucleotide small nuclear RNA is filed under the name Echinops telfairi (small Madagascar hedgehog). Its description in RNAcentral is "U4 spliceosomal RNA (ENSETEG00000024233.1)". It matches the Rfam family "U4 spliceosomal RNA". Rfam says of the family: U4 small nuclear RNA (U4 snRNA) is a component of the major U2-dependent spliceosome. The structure of U4 snRNA from yeast and human has been reported. Lineage: Eukaryota; Metazoa; Chordata; Mammalia; Afrosoricida; Tenrecidae. The record is from RNAcentral.